RNAcentral lists this unclassified non-coding RNA (349 nucleotides) under soil metagenome. Its description in RNAcentral is "partial contains 5.8S ribosomal RNA, internal transcribed spacer 2, and large subunit ribosomal RNA". The stretch from base 1 to 120 matches the Rfam family "5.8S ribosomal RNA", at positions 35 to 154 of the family's 154-position model. The record is from RNAcentral.
GAUGAAGAACGCAGCGAAAUGCGAUAAGUAAUGUGAAUUGCAGAAUUCAGUGAAUCAUCGAAUCUUUGAACGCACAUUGCGCCCGCCAGUAUUCUGGCGGGCAUGCCUGUCCGAGCAUCAUUUCAACCCUCGAACCCCUCCGGGGGGUCGGCGUUGGGGAUCGGCCCCUCACCGGGCCGCCCCCGAAAUCCAGUGGCGGUCUCGCCGCAGCCUCUCCUGCGCAGUAGUUUGCACACUCGCACCGGGAGCGCGGCGCGGCCACAGCCGUAAAACACCCCAAACUCUGAAAUGUUGACCUCGGAUCAGGUAGGAAUACCCGCUGAACUUAAGCAUAUCAAUAAGCGGAGGA